GGUCUGCUCUGCUCGACCUCAGUGCCGUCACAUUGAUGCCACAACUCCAAUCAGACCGACAACCAUGCGACUACCUCAUUUCCUUAGGUGGCUUAUUUUUCCCUUCCCUUCACUCUUUCACACAUCACAACAAAAGAAAACAAAUCACAACAAUCUGGCCUUUUUUUCAACCUUAAUUGCAAAUUUGGCUCCAUUCUCUUGUUGCCCUUUGCAAAAUGCCAAAAUCCAUUCAACCAUUCCAUUGAAGCAGAAGAAAUUUUUAAUCGUUACACUUGGAAGCAGAAGAUCGGAGGUCUGUACAGGUUAAGUGUAUGUUGAUUUGUCUAAAUGGAUUGAUAUAAUGAUAUGUAAUUGUUAUCUUGGACCCUUGGUCUGAAACCUUGUUUAUAUGGUUCAGACAUUGUUUACACGGUUCUUGCUUUGUGUUGUGGUUUUUUAUUAAAAUGGUGCAUCUUUUAGUUUUUAAUGAAACUGUGAAGCAUGUGCUGGAGAUGAAGUAUGAUGCGUUAUACUUCGCUUGCAGUUAUGCUUUUGUUGUUUGUGUGUGCUUUAUGCUGAGUUCUAGAAUUCUGAUGCACUGCUUGCAGAACUCUGAAAUCUUGUUGUCAUCAUUUAAAGAGCUCGAUGGCUGUUAUAUUUUUAGUUUUAUUUGUGAAAUACUUCCUUGUUUUUAUAUGUUUGUUUGAACUUGAAUAAGAGAUAUGUAAUUUAUUUAGGAAUUGUUCGUGUCAAGGAUAAGGCCUGCUUAUGUGUUAUUCAGUUAUUGUUUUGUCCAUUCUAAUAUUAGUUAGCUAAGAAGUCUGGGUAAGGUUCUUGAAGUUAGGUUGUGUAUCUAUUUGCAGAAUAUGAUUUUUUCCUCAUGAUUGUUUCAGGUUGUUGACAUAUUUGAAUAUCUAGUUU
Molecule: long non-coding RNA, 900 nt
Filed under: Olea europaea subsp. europaea
Lineage: Eukaryota; Viridiplantae; Streptophyta; Magnoliopsida; Lamiales; Oleaceae
Source: RNAcentral